GAUGAACGCUAGCGGCAGGCCUAAUACAUGCAAGACGAACGGUAAGUUGAGUAGCAAUACUUAGCCAAGAGUGUCGUACGGGUGCGUAACACGUAUGCAACCUACCCUAUACAGGAGGAUAGCCUAGGGAAACCUGGAUUAACCCUUCAUAGUAUUAUUGGAUGGCAUCAUUUGAUAAUUAAAACUGAGGUGGUAUAGGAUGGGCAUGCGUCUGAUUAGUUAGUUGGCGGGGUAAUGGCCCACCAAGACGAUGAUCAGUAGGGGUUCUGAGAGGAAGAUCCCCCACACUGGCACUGAGAG
RNAcentral lists this ribosomal RNA (300 nucleotides) under uncultured bacterium. RNAcentral's name for it is "bacterial SSU rRNA". It matches the Rfam family "Bacterial small subunit ribosomal RNA", at positions 28 to 325 of the family's 1533-position model. The record is from RNAcentral.